UUUUCUACACCACCCAUGGUACACAAAGAAUUUUCAAAGUAGAGGAGAGUCCUAUCAUCAAGAAAGAUGGGUCCUACACCCAUAAAGUGAUCAUUAACAGUAGGUACAAAACCUAAUUGAAGAUCUCUUGAAAGAGGUUUGAUUAGAAAGGAAGCUGAUGGAAUGAUCAUAUCAGGACACUACUCUAGGAAACCAUCUCCUUCUCAUUCCUUUCAUGUUCAAAAAUGAAAUUAGUGAUAAUUAUUUGCAAAGUUAAAGUUCUACUCUUCAUUGGUUUGAGAUAGAAGGUCGGCGAUAUAAUAGGUCACAAAUAUCUUUCAAAGGCUAAUAUAGAGGGUGGCUGUGAAGGACCAUGCCUAAUGCUUUUAGAUUUUUGUCAACAGUAUUAGUUUUUUGCCAUAUCUAGAACUUGUACGUUUAUUUCUUGGUUGGAAUUUGCUUAGACAAGAAGUAUUGUUUAUAUGAUGCUUGAAGAUUUCUGUUUUACCCAAUAAAAAGAAAAAAAGAUUUAUGUUUUCCCUGAAAAAGGCACAAGGAAUAAAAUACAACUUCAUGGCAAAACUAGCCCUAAAAAUUAGUCUGGAAAACUGAUCAGAGCUAGCGGCAGAACCACAGAUUUCAAGUGCGGUUUCACUGCAUUGAGAAGAAUCAACCACCGAAGUCUAGAGCUUCCCCAUUUGAGAGUCAGAGAAAAUUUAGCAUGGUUAGGCAACACAUACAUGUUGCCUUUGGAGUUAUCAAUGAUCCAAAUACAAGAAAGUUAAGCCAAUAGAUUGUAGUGUCAUGGUUGGGAAGAAUUUUUAUAGUAUAGCAACAUCAACCAAUUAAUUGAACAAUAGCGAACGAUUGAUGCAAGUUGAACAACGAAAGCUGGAGAAUAUUAUGCAAGCUGAACAACGAAAGCCGGAGAAUUUGGAUUUACAAGCAGAAACCCAUAUUUGCAACUUAAUGG
This 952-nucleotide long non-coding RNA is filed under the name Elaeis guineensis (African oil palm). RNAcentral's name for it is "long non-coding RNA (EGUI_LNC037546)". The record is from RNAcentral. Lineage: Eukaryota; Viridiplantae; Streptophyta; Magnoliopsida; Arecales; Arecaceae.